UGGCGAACGGGUGAGUAACGCGUGAGGAACCUGCCUCAAAGAGGGGGACGACAGUUGGAAACGACUGCUAAUACCGCAUAAGCCCACGGGUCGGCAUCGACCUGAGGGAAAAGGAGCAAUCCGCUUUGAGAUGGCCUCGCGUCCGAUUAGCUAGUUGGUGAGGUAACGGCCCACCAAGGCGACGAUCGGUAGCCGGACUGAGAGGUUGAACGGCCACAUUGGGACUGAGACACGGCCCAG
Molecule: ribosomal RNA, 240 nt
Filed under: uncultured bacterium
Lineage: Bacteria
Description: partial 16S ribosomal RNA
Rfam family: Bacterial small subunit ribosomal RNA
Source: RNAcentral